This is a long non-coding RNA of Bombus pyrosoma, 288 nucleotides long. RefSeq lists it as uncharacterized. The record is from RefSeq and is a predicted model, not a curated record. The transcript is spliced from 2 exons. NCBI's taxonomy places the organism in Eukaryota, Metazoa, Arthropoda, Insecta, Hymenoptera, Apidae.
GUAACUUCCGUUGGGUGCUGAGACAUCUGGACAGGCUAGCACUAAAACAUUUAUUAUCACCAAUUUAUAGAGGUGCUGCUUCUAGUCACCGUGUCAAAUGAUAAUUACUUGAUGAACGCAGACACUGAGAUUAUACUCUAUACAAGAUUGUUAUAAUGAUUGACAACGGAUAAACGUGAAAUUAUACGAUGCAAGUAAAUAUUUCCAGACAGUAAAUAAUACAUUUUAAUGAAGGACUCUGUAUUUAGAUUCUCGAUAAUAUGUAUGAUAAUAUAAACCAUACUAAAA